CCUUAUCGUCUGUCUGCUGAAUGUGUAGCAAGGCCAGACCUGGUUAGUACUUGGAUGGGAGAUCACCUGGAAAUCCCAAGGGCUGUAAGCU
This 91-nucleotide ribosomal RNA is filed under the name Salvator merianae (Argentine black and white tegu). Lineage: Eukaryota; Metazoa; Chordata; Lepidosauria; Squamata; Teiidae. The record is from RNAcentral.